UACCAGCACCCCGAGUGGUCGGGACGAUUAUUGGGCCUAAAGCAUCCGUAGCCGGUCCUACAAGUCUUCCGUUAAAUCCACCUGCUUAACAGAUGGGCUGCGGAAGAUACUAUAGGGCUAGGAGGCGGGAGAGGCAAGCGGUACUCAGUGGGUAGGGGUAAAAUCCUCUGAUCCAUUGAAGACCACCAGUGGCGAAGGCGGCCUGCCAGAACGCGCCCGACGGUGAGGGAUGAAAGCUGGGGGAGCAAACCGG
This 253-nucleotide ribosomal RNA is filed under the name uncultured bacterium. RNAcentral describes it as "partial 16S ribosomal RNA". It matches the Rfam family "Archaeal small subunit ribosomal RNA", at positions 474 to 727 of the family's 1478-position model. The record is from RNAcentral.